GAGGAAAGUCCGGACACCACAGAGCGCUAUAGCGGGUAACGCCCGUCCGCCGUAAGGCGAGGACCAGUGCAACAGAAAGCAAGUACAGUUCGGCUGUAGUGAAAUCAGGUAAACUCUAUAGGGUGCAACGCCAAGUAUACCGGCAACUAAGAGUGGCUCGCUCCGUGUCGGAGGGUAGGCGGUUAGAAUGGCCUGGCAACAGUCCAUCCAGAUAAAUGAUAAGCUCUUUCUCCUGAAGGGAAAGCACAGAAUCCGGCUUA
Molecule: RNase P RNA, 260 nt
Filed under: Capnocytophaga sp. oral taxon 863 str. F0517
Lineage: Bacteria; Pseudomonadati; Bacteroidota; Flavobacteriia; Flavobacteriales; Flavobacteriaceae
Description: RNA component of RNase P
Rfam family: Bacterial RNase P class A
About the family: Ribonuclease P (RNase P) is a ubiquitous endoribonuclease, found in archaea, bacteria and eukarya as well as chloroplasts and mitochondria. Its best characterised activity is the generation of mature 5'-ends of tRNAs by cleaving the 5'-leader elements of precursor-tRNAs. Cellular RNase Ps are ribonucleoproteins.
Source: RNAcentral